UUUCGCAAUGCCCGAAAGGGUGACGAAGCGACGCCGCGUGUGGGAAGAAGGCCUUCGGGUUGUAAACCACUGUCGGGAGUUAAGAAAUGCAAGGAUAUGAAUAGUGUCUUUGCUUGACUAAGGCUCCGGAGGAAGCCACGGCUAACUCUGUGCCAGCAGCCGCGGUAAUACAGAGGCGGCAAGCGUUGUUCGGAAUUAUUGGGCGUAAAGAGCACGUAGGCGGCUAUGUAAGUCGGUUGUGAAAGCCUUCCGCUCAACGGAAGAACAGCAUCCGAUACUACAUGGCUUGAGUGCGGGAGGGGAGAGUGGAACUUCUGGUGGAGCGGUGAAAUGCGUAGAUAUCAGAAGGAACGCCGGCGGCGAAAGCGGCUCUCUGGCCCAUAACUGACGCUGAGUGUGCGAAAGCUAGGGGAGCAAACGGGAUUAGAUACCCCGGUAGUCCUAGCCGUAAACGAUGGGCACUAAGUAGAGGGGUUUU
RNAcentral lists this ribosomal RNA (478 nucleotides) under uncultured Planctomycetales bacterium. Its description in RNAcentral is "bacterial SSU rRNA". It matches the Rfam family "Bacterial small subunit ribosomal RNA", at positions 364 to 832 of the family's 1533-position model. Lineage: Bacteria; Pseudomonadati; Planctomycetota; Planctomycetia; Planctomycetales. The record is from RNAcentral.